AGACAGUACCUAAGGAGGAAGCUCCGGCUAACUACGUGCCAGCAGCCGCGGUAAUACGUAGGGAGCAAGCGUUAUCCGGAUUUAUUGGGUGUAAAGGGUGCGUAGACGGGAAAUUAAGUUAGUUGUGAAAUCCCUCGGCUUAACUGAGGAACUGCAACUAAAACUGGUUUUCUUGAGUGCAGGAGAGGAAAGAGGAAUUCCUAGUGUAGCGGUGAAAUGCGUAGAUAUUAGGAGGAACACCAGUGGCGAAGGCGUCUUUCUGGACUGUAACUGACGUUGAGGCACGAAAGUGUGGGGAGCAAACAGGAUUAGAUACCCUG
RNAcentral lists this ribosomal RNA (320 nucleotides) under uncultured bacterium. RNAcentral's name for it is "bacterial SSU rRNA". It matches the Rfam family "Bacterial small subunit ribosomal RNA", at positions 470 to 789 of the family's 1533-position model. The record is from RNAcentral.